UACUAAUUGAUGAAUUGUGUACUAUUCAAGGAAAUGAAGAACCCAUAAACCUGACUUUCCACAAAAACACUAAUUCAGUUUUAGGAGGCUUUCUUGUGAUUCUUUCAAUACGCAUUUGUAAUUUCCAGAUAGAGGGGAAAAGCAACAGGGGAAUAAUAUGAUGAUCGGAAUUCACUACUAUUAAAGUCAUCAGGUAUUUUUGUGCAUUCAUAUGCCAACAUGAUAAAAGGUUAUUGAUUAAACCACUUCAAUCAACAAACUAUUUACUUUGAUCAAUAAUUUUAUAUUAUAUUCGGCCCUUCAAGAAAAUGUUAAUUCCUGCAAUUCUUUCCCAUCAGCACAUUAAAAAAACAGAAAGUCAAGUUUCAAAGAUCAGAAAGUUGGCAACAUGCCCAGCUCUUUACUAUCAUAGGAUUAACAUGUAAUGCUUUGACACUUUCACCAAAAUCACUCUUUUCAAAAUCUAAAGUAAAACCAAUUAAAAAUUAACUGACACAACAAAGUAUCAACAGAAGCCAAGACAAACAAGCAAUUCUCAUUUGAGAAAUACAUAGACAACGGUUUUGCGAAGUUAACAAAAACUACAUGAUAUAAGCCAGGGAAGGGAAAAGUGGAUCCUAAUGUACCCGAACAAUAGAUAAAAUGCAGAAUAUGAACUGCGUAGUUCAAUAACAAAGUAUUGCAUCGACUUACCUGAGCAGGAUCAAUCUCAAAUGAGUGAGCUUCUUUCUCUUCAGCUGCAGCAGCCAAUUGUGCUUCAUUUAGCAACUCCUCAUGCCUACCUUCAAUUUCACCCAAUGACUUGCUAAUUGUAAAUCCAUCAUUUCCCUGCAUCCCCUAAUAAUAAAAAUAUUUGCGGUCCCCAAAAUCAUCUCAAUAUAAGAAAUUGAGGACAACAUUCCCAGAGAUGAAUUGACUAAAGAAAAUAACAAGGAAAAUAAAAAAUUACAGACUGGAUACUUACAAGAUGCUUGAGAGUAGACAUUAGAAUAGAUGUAUAUUCUACCAUUAGUGCAUUACUAAAUAUACCUUUUUGCUAUUGAAGAUUUCAACCAAGGCCUCUUUUAAUACCUGUUCCAAAAAUGCACAGGCAUACACUGAUCAUAUCUGAAUUUUAAAGAGUAAAACCAGUGAAUCUGUAAUAUGUUAUUACCUCUUGCUUGUCUGGAAGCUUAUCUCCAUUUAGCAAAACUAGAUUAAGACUCCCAAAUUGAUCAUAAUAUGACAGGUCAAUCUGCUCAACAUUUUCACCAACACAAGCAAUUAGAAGGAAGACGAAGUUCAGUUUUACAGGCAGGAUUGAACAAAGAUUUAGAUUUUAGACUUGUGAAAAAUCAACACCAACUCACUGAGAGAUCUAUAACAUUGGGGCAGAAGCAACAUUUUAAUACUUUAAGAAAGUGUUUGGAUGGAGGAUUCAAACUAGGGAUUUUGCUUUGUCAGCGGAUAUCAAAUUUCAAUUUUAUAUCUUCAUUUGGGUGUAAUGAAGGAUUUUUAAAAUGUCUGAUUAAUAAAUGUGGGAAUCAGAAUCUAAAGGAAUCAAAAUUUGUUCAAAUAACACCUCAAAAUUUAUCAUUCAAAUAACAACCCUGUUAAUCUUUCUCUUUUUUGUUUUUUAUUUCCCAACUCACCACCACCAUCAUGCCAUUUCCACCAAAAUUGUUACAGUCCACCACCAACAUCAACACGACACCACAAUAACCAUCGCCACGGCCACCAUCGUCACCAUGACCAGUACCACUACUAAUACAACCACUACUAAUACAACCACUGUAGCUGGUGCCACUGCCACCAUCAUUACCAAGACCACUACCACUAUCAGUACAGCCACUGUAGCCCCUAUCACUAUCAGUACAACCACUAUAGCCCCUGGCACGAACACAAUUAUAUGUCAACAUUCCUAUUUCACAAAAAUCCCACUUUCUUUAAUAAUGUUAAUGGUGACUUUCAAAUGUAAAGAUAUACUUGCUUAAUUUACAAUUCUUUGUACUUGAGGAUUCCAAUAUUUACAAUUCUUCAUCCAAAUAUACUCUGAGAUAAUUUCCCUUGAGAAUAAAACUGAUACAAUUUGUUCCAACCAACCAUUUCAACAUUUUGAUGCACUUUGAUUUACUUAUGGCAUAAGAGGAAUGACCAAUUCAUACAUCUUUUUAGUGUGCAAACCAAUAGGCUAGGAAAGUCUUAUCAGAGAAUCCUUCACCUGACAUGGAAAUAAAAUAAAGUACUCUGGUAUGGACUCAUUAUCUAGAAUUCAUGAAGUCAAUGGAACAUACCUCAUCAAUAAAAAUCAAGAAUGAUUGAUCAAUAUUACAUGAAUCAAAAAGCCAAUUGAGCACAAUAAUAUGACAAAAAGCUCACUUAAUAUAUAAUAAGAUAUAUCAAUCAUAAAUCAUGAUUCAUAAUACUGGUAAAGCAAUUUUAACCAAACAAAAGCAAGAAAAAACAUUAAACUUGUGAUUAUAGCCAAACAAUACCUAAAAUUGCAUCAGAGACAAUGUAACAUCUAAUUUUCUUUAACCUACGGUAGCAGAAGAGGGAGACUGACCUGUGCAGGAGUAAGGGUUUGGUCGUCCUUCUCCAUCCUCCUCGCAAAAAAAUCCUCCUUUCCGCGGCCGAAGCCUCCAAUUGUGCGCGCGUAUAAAUUUAGACCUUGACAGAACACCUCCGCCCCAUCCACCGCUCCUAAAAUCCCCCACCGACUGAUUCCGCUUCCCAUCAGAUGCAGAUCUAAAUCCUCCGUCAUCGAAAUUAUCCCAAGUAUAGCCCAUCUUCUGUUUCUGGUUCUUGCACCUGUCGAAACAAUUAUAAAAAAUAGCAGAGAAUGUAGAAAUUAGGGCUUGACUCGGUAUGAGAGAUUUAGGCUAUUGUAUAAGAUAUUAAGGGUAUGAGAGAUUUAGGCUCUUGACUCGAACUUAGUUGAUUCCUAAAGAGAGAGGAAAAACCCAGAUAUGUAAAGAAGAAACCUAUCUAACCCAUCUCCUCUCUAAUUGAAACAUCGAAUUUUGGCUAAGGAAGAAAGGUUAAACCCAAUUGAUCUCUAUUCUACGCUUUCCAGACCACGCACGAACACAACUCAGUACUCUGUUAAAAAAAAAAAGAGUUUUAUAACAUUUUAUAUGUAAAAUUAUUAUUUCAAAAAUUAAAGAUAAAUCUAAAUUUAAAUUUAAGGAUAUUAUAAAUUUAAUUAUAACAAAUUAAAAUAUAACUCUUUUGUAGAACCAAAAAGUAAUAUUUUAACAUUUGUAAUUUAUUCCAUAAAAAGAGUCAUAAUUAUUAUAAUUUUGUUUACUAACAAUUUAUAACAUUUUAAAUUUUAAAUUAUUGUAACUUAAUAUUUUAAUAAAUACAAUUAAUAUUUUAAAUUACUUAAAAAUUAUUAUUAAGAANNNNNNNNNNNNNNNNNNNNNNNNNNNNNNNNNNNNNNNNNNNNNNNNNNNNNNNNNNNNNNNNNNNNNNNNNNNNNNNNNNNNNNNNNNNNNNNNNNNNUUACUAUUUCAAAAUAAUAAUUAGAGGAAAUUAAAUUUCAUUUAUUAAUUAUUUGGGGUCUUACAUUGUUGCUAUAUUAAAACUUGUUCAAUGCUUUGUUAACGAAUUAUAUUGUUGUCAAAUUAAAAUUUGACAUUCUUUUUGUGUACGUGACCGGAUCAAUGUCCCCAUAGCAAAUAAUGGCAAAAAUACAAAAAACUAAAAUAUUAUUAACUUAAUAAAAUCGUCCACUACAUAAUCAUUCAUUAUCUUUACAAUUAACCAUCUAAAACUACCACAUUUCUUCAAUCAAAGUAUAUAUCUACAUAUAUAGAGAGAGUACACUUCAUAAUUUCGUCCAUUGUCUUCCGUAAACGUAGCACGAAAAUUUGAUACACAGUAUUGUAAGGCAGAUCGUAGAAGCAGUCUUCCUACACAUUUAAAAAUAAUAGCAAGUCAGAAAAAUAAAGCAAAUAGGUCACCAGAGACACUUAGUGCCAAAAUCAAUACACAAACACAAUAGAGUUGCUACGUGGUACAAUAUCAAGGCUUGGCUCCUAUUUCAUAAUACUUUAGAAUACCACCAAUUUCUUGUUCAAUUUGAGUAACUAAACAAUAAAUAUGGUUGGCACAUCAAUGCAUAAUCACUCUCCAACUUGGUUAUAGCACAAGUUAGAACAAGUACACCACUUUCCAUUGCCAAAAAUAUUUUCCAUCAUUGAAGAAAUUGAGUAGAUUCUUUAAUCACUCUCCUCUGAGUAAACUUCUCUCAUAAUAGAGUAGAUUCUUUAAUCAUUAAAACGUUGAAUAUCUCGCCUUUUCAUCACAUGGUGAAGGAGGUAGGUCUGCUGGCUAGUUUACUCUUGAAUUUUCUUUUAGAUUCUACCCGCACUUCUAAAAUGAGGAAACAAAUUGAGAAGGAAUAGUUUCUUCAAUUGUAAAAUAUGAUUUGAUUUUAUACCAACACUAAACAAUUAACCAAUAACUGAAGCUUAGAAUUAAUCAGUUCAUGGAACAGACAAAGUAAAUGUAUGUGUCCACUAUUUCUUUCUUUUUCUUUUUUCUUUUCUUUUUGUGUGCGCGCGCACGCGUAUGGGUUGGGUACACAUCAUAUGACUGAAAAUUAGAUAUUAUUAAGAACAAUUAAUAAAACACUUACAUCCCACAUUCUUAGCUGCAAGGACUCCCGAGGGUGCAUCUUCAAAAACAAGAACCUUCUGUGGCUCUACUGGUCCACCCUGUUUUCUCACAAAUUUUCAUUACAAAGGAAGCCAACAAACUUGAUAUAAUCAGCUCAUCACUUAGUUGUUUUACACGUAAAUUAACUUGUGAAUUAGUUAAAAGUGCAUGAGAAUAAUUACCUCAAAUCUUUUGGCUGCAGCAAGGAAAAUAUCUGGUGAUGGUUUGCCUUGUUUAACUUCAGGAUCAUCACCAUUAACAAUGUGAUGCAUCAAUGAGAACAGUUCUCCAAAUUUUUGUGUUUUCAAUUCAAAGUGAUAUCUCUUAGAACUGUAAAAACAUAUAAGAUGAGUAAUGCUCAUGACAUUCUUUACAUUUCAUAGUUCAAGUGUAUUUUCAUCCUCCGAUCAUCUCUACUUAAAGAAAUAGGGAAAAGUAGGUAAUUUGAAAGAAUGUAUCAUACCCUGUUGCCACAUAUAUUGGUAUUUUGUUUGCAUGGAAAUGCUUGAUCAAACGACCAUCCCCUAAAACAGGCAAAGAAAAUAGUGAAAAAGAAACCUUUUCUAAUUCAAUAGUAAUGCUCACAAACUAUAUGUUAAUCGCUAUACAAACUAUUAGUAUAAGACUCGGCAAUUAGUUAUUAUUAUUGUCAACUGUUAAUCAAUACUUGUUCUUUUGUUUUCCUCUCCAGGGUUUGGGUGGAAGAUCAUUAAGAAAACUACCAUUCUUGGCUCAUGCAACGCUUGCCAGUCCUUGCAGUUGUGACUUAGGCAAGUUCUUGAGUACAAUGAUAGAUACAGUUAGAAGGGAGCAAUCUGAAAUACCUGAUUGAGUACAAACAAUACAGGAGGUAUAAUAUUUUUAUUUUUGAUGCUAAGACUUUAGUUCUACCCUGCAGCAAUUAUGAGCCCUGGAUUGAGUGGAAAGCUAUUGAAGAACAUCUAUUUCAGCUCGUUAACCAAAAUAGUUGGUUAUCCUCCGUAAUUCUGUUGUACAGUGAUAGAUACAAAAUGGGAGUAUCACAAAGAAACAAGAUCCUCUAAAGUAGCAGUGGUGUUCCUCUACUCAAGAUCACUCAUUUUAUAACCCUUUAACAUCCUAGUUAUUAAGAAAAAAUCUUUAACAUUCCCAAACAGGGUUCAUUAAGGAAGAGACAAACCUAAAUUCAACCAAAGAUAAAACCAAAUGAGAAACAACUCACAGUAUCAUUUCUGAAGUCAUACUCCUCGAGCAUUGGAUAGUUUAAAGCAUUUGGCAAGCAACGCUGCUUUACAUUUUCAACCUGUCAUUAUGAAUACUAAUUGAUGAAUUGUGUACUAUUCAAGGAAAUGAAGAACCCAUAAACCUGACUUUCCACAAAAACACUAAUUCAGUUUUAGGAGGCUUUCUUGUGAUUCUUUCAAUACGCAUUUGUAAUUUCCAGAUAGAGGGGAAAAGCAACAGGGGAAUAAUAUGAUGAUCGGAAUUCACUACUAUUAAAGUCAUCAGGUAUUUUUGUGCAUUCAUAUGCCAACAUGAUAAAAGGUUAUUGAUUAAACCACUUCAAUCAACAAACUAUUUAC
This 6206-nucleotide long non-coding RNA is filed under the name Panax ginseng (ginseng). RNAcentral describes it as "long non-coding RNA (PGIN_LNC010947)". The record is from RNAcentral. Lineage: Eukaryota; Viridiplantae; Streptophyta; Magnoliopsida; Apiales; Araliaceae.